Molecule: ribosomal RNA, 440 nt
Filed under: uncultured bacterium
Lineage: Bacteria
Description: partial 16S ribosomal RNA
Rfam family: Bacterial small subunit ribosomal RNA
Source: RNAcentral
CCUACGUGAGGCAGCAGUGGGGGAUAUUGCACAAUGGGGGGAACCCUGAUGCAGCGACGCCGCGUGAGCGAAGAAGUACCUCGGUAUGUAAAGCUCUAUCAGCAGGGAAGAAAAUGACGGUACCUGACUAAGAAGCACCGGCUAAAUACGUGCCAGCAGCCGCGGUAAUACGUAUGGGGCAAUCGUUAUCCGGAUUUACUGGGUGUAAAGGGAGCGCAGGCGGCCUGCCAAGUCUGGUGUGAAAACCCGGGGCCCAACCCCGGGCCUGCAUUGGAAACUGGCGGGCUGGAGGGUCGGAGGGGCAGGCGGAAUGCCUAGUGUAGCGGUGAAAUGCGUAGAUAUUAGGAGGAACACCGGUGGCGAAGGCGGCCUGAUGGACGAUGACUGACGCUGAGGCUCGAAAGCGUGGGGAGCAAACAGGAUUAGAUACCCGAGUAGUC